CAGUUUGAGUGUUAGGUGGGAUUGCAUCUGAAUUACAAGAUGAGUAUGUAUUAAUAAUCAUUACUUGGAAGUUUGUGACCAGCAUAUUAUACCGGACUCACACAAUCUUGAUCUUAUAGCCACGAGAUAUAAAUUCAUUCCAUUAGUAGCUGCAUAUUAAUACUGAAAUAUUUCUACUGCUAGCAACUUGGUGCUGAUUCCUCUAGUUGUCCAUUGUCCUCAUAUUUUUUUCUCCUAACAAAUAACAAGACCUAUUUGCCUUUCUUGUAUAAGGCAAAGCUUGCUAUGCACAGCCUGUUCUAGUCAUGUAAGAAACUGGUUUUCAGUAACCAGGUGCAUUUUAGAUAUGUUGCUUUUUUUCUAUUAAGAUAAUUAGUAUUUCAGUCUUCAUUAGUGAAUGAUCUCAAAUUUAUUUAUGUUAUAGCUUGAUUGAAUAGCUGUGCGAUUGUUGAGGAUGCAAAUGUUAUUGCAGCAGGACGAAACUGGCGUAAUGAGACUUGAAAUGUAUGUUUAUCAUUGCUUCUCCAGCCCCUUCUAUAAAUUUUGGCCAAUGGCACUUUGUUGUU
RNAcentral lists this long non-coding RNA (566 nucleotides) under Eucalyptus grandis. RNAcentral's name for it is "long non-coding RNA (EGRA_LNC002929)". The record is from RNAcentral. Lineage: Eukaryota; Viridiplantae; Streptophyta; Magnoliopsida; Myrtales; Myrtaceae.